GGGUCCGUGGCGGAAUUGGCAGACGCAGCGGCCUUAAAAGCCGCAGCCCCGAUAGGGGCGUGUGGGUUCGAGUCCCACCGGGCCUA
Molecule: transfer RNA, 86 nt
Filed under: Phycisphaerae bacterium
Lineage: Bacteria; Pseudomonadati; Planctomycetota; Phycisphaerae
Also listed under: 1 other name
Description: tRNA-Leu
Rfam family: tRNA
About the family: Transfer RNA (tRNA) molecules are approximately 80 nucleotides in length.
Source: RNAcentral